AGCGAACGCUGGCGGCAGGCUUAACACAUGCAAGUCGAACGCUUUUUCUUUCACCGGAGCUUGCUCCACCGAAAGAAAAAGAGUGGCGAACGGGUGAGUAACACGUGGGUAACCUGCCCAUCAGAAGGGGAUAACACUUGGAAACAGGUGCUAAUACCGUAUAACACUAUUUUCCGCAUGGAAGAAAGUUGAAAGGCGCUUUUGCGUCACUGAUGGAUGGACCCGCGGUGCAUUAGCUAGUUGGUGAGGCAACGGCUCACCAAGGCAACGAUGCAUAGCAGACCUGAGAGGGUGAUCGGCCACACUGGGACUGAGACACGGCCCAGACUCCUACGGGAGGUAGCAGUAGGGAAUCUUCGGCAAUGGACGAAAGUCUGACCGAGCAACGCCGCGUGAGUGAAGAAGGUUUUCGGAUCGUAAAACUCUGUUGUUAGAGAAGAACAAGGAUGAGAGUAAAACGUUCAUCCCUUGACGGUAUCUAACCAGAAAGCCACGGCUAACUACGUGCCAGCAGCCGCCGUAA
This 523-nucleotide ribosomal RNA is filed under the name uncultured bacterium. RNAcentral's name for it is "partial 16S ribosomal RNA". It matches the Rfam family "Bacterial small subunit ribosomal RNA", at positions 29 to 523 of the family's 1533-position model. The record is from RNAcentral.